GCAAGUCGAGCGCGGGAAGCGGACAGAACUCUUCGGAGGGACGUUCGUGGAACGAGCGGCGGACGGGUGAGUAACACGUAGGCAACCUGCCUGUAAGACUGGGAUAACUCGCGGAAACGCGAGCUAAUACCGGAUAAUACUUAUGAUCUCCUGAUGAUAAGUUGAAAGGCGGCUUUUGCUGUCACUUACAGAUGGGCCUGCGGCGCAUUAGCUAGUUGGUGGGGUAAUGGCUCACCAAGGCGACGAUGCGUAGCCGACCUGAGAGGGUGAUCGGCCACACUGGGACUGAGACACGGCCCAGACUCCUACGGGAGGCAGCAGUAGGGAAUCUUCCGCAAUGGACGAAAGUCUGACGGAGCAACGCCGCGUGAGUGAUGAAGGUUUUCGGAUCGUAAAACUCUGUUGUUAGGGAAGAACAAGUGCCAUAGUAACUGAUGGCACCUUGACGGUACCUAACCAGAAAGCCACGGCUAACUACGUGCCAGCAGCCGCGGUAAUACGUAGGUGGCAAGCGUUGUCCGGAAUUAUUGGGCGUAAAGCGCUCGCAGGCGGUUCUUUAAGUCUGAUGUGAAAUCUUGCAGCUCAACUGUAAACGUGCAUUGGAAACUGGAGGACUUGAGUGCAGAAGAGGAGAGUGGAAUUCCACGUGUAGCGGUGAAAUGCGUAGAGAUGUGGAGGAACACCAGUGGCGAAGGCGACUCUCUGGUCUGUAACUGACGCUGAGGAGCGAAAGCGUGGGGAGCGAACAGGAUUAGAUACCCUGGUAGUCCACGCCGUAAACGAUGAGUGCUAGGUGUUAGGG
RNAcentral lists this ribosomal RNA (802 nucleotides) under Oceanobacillus neutriphilus. RNAcentral describes it as "bacterial SSU rRNA". It matches the Rfam family "Bacterial small subunit ribosomal RNA", at positions 57 to 828 of the family's 1533-position model. Lineage: Bacteria; Bacillati; Bacillota; Bacilli; Caryophanales; Bacillaceae. The record is from RNAcentral.